This 256-nucleotide unclassified non-coding RNA is filed under the name fungal sp. RNAcentral describes it as "partial internal transcribed spacer region". The stretch from base 1 to 46 matches the Rfam family "Eukaryotic small subunit ribosomal RNA", at positions 1786 to 1831 of the family's 1831-position model. The record is from RNAcentral. Lineage: Eukaryota; Fungi. RNAcentral also lists the same sequence under 1 other name.
AAGUCGUAACAAGGUAACCGUAGGUGAACCUGCGGUUGGAUCAUUAACGAAAACAUCUUGAUCGGGCAUGGAUGCGUCUCUCCUCCUGGGGGGCGACACAUCCUCGUCUACAUCAACCAACCCCACUUUUAUUUUUUAUUUUUUCACAUUGUUUUUGAACUCGGAGGUCCGUCGACAUCCUUGCGAUGUGGGCGUUCCGACGUGUGAUACUGAAAGAACAAUAAAACAACUUUUGGCAACGGAUCUCUUGGCUCUC